UAAGGGUUCCUGGGUCAAGCUGAUCUGCCCAGGGUAAGUCGGGACCUAAGGCGAGGCCGACAGGCGUAGUCGAUGGACAACCGGUUGAUAUUCCGGUACCCGCUUUGAAACGCCCAAUAUCGAAUCAGGCGAUGCUAAGUCCCGUGAAGCCGCCCUGAGCUCUUCGGAGCGUAGGGGAUUGGUGGAGCCGACGAACCAGACUUGUAGUAGGUAAGCGAUGGGGUGACGCAGGAAGGUAGUCCAGCCCGGGCGGUGGUAGUCCCGGGGUAAGGGUGUAGGCCGUGUGAUAGGCAAAUCCGUCACACGUUAAGGCUGAGACCUGAUGCCGAGCCGAUUGUGGUGAAGUGGAUGAUCCUAUGCUGUCGAGAAAAGCCUCUAGCGAGUUUCAUGGCGGCCCGUACCCUAAACCGACUCAGGUGGUCAGGUAGAGAAUACCGAGGCGUUCGGGUGAACUAUGGUUAAGGAACUCGGCAAAAUGCCCCCGUAACUUCGGGAGAAGGGGGGCCAUGUCCGGUGAUGAGUCUUACUCUCUGAGCUGGGUGUGGCCGCAGAGACCAGCGAGAAGCGACUGUUUACUAAAAACACAGGUCCGUGCGAAGCCGUAAGGCGAUGUAUACGGACUGACGCCUGCCCGGUGCUGGAACGUUAAGGGGACCGGUUAGC
RNAcentral lists this ribosomal RNA (663 nucleotides) under Streptomyces sp. Its description in RNAcentral is "bacterial LSU rRNA". It matches the Rfam family "Bacterial large subunit ribosomal RNA", at positions 1346 to 1894 of the family's 2925-position model. Lineage: Bacteria; Bacillati; Actinomycetota; Actinomycetes; Kitasatosporales; Streptomycetaceae. The record is from RNAcentral.